RNAcentral lists this unclassified non-coding RNA (249 nucleotides) under Alternaria sp. RNAcentral describes it as "partial contains 5.8S ribosomal RNA, internal transcribed spacer 2, and large subunit ribosomal RNA". Lineage: Eukaryota; Fungi; Ascomycota; Dothideomycetes; Pleosporales; Pleosporaceae. The record is from RNAcentral.
CGCACAUUGCGCCCCUUGGUAUUCCAUGGGGCAUGCCUGUUCGAGCGUCAUUUGUACCUUCAAGCUUUGCUUGGUGUUGGGCGUUUUGUCUUUUCCUUUACGAUUAGACUCGCCUUAAAGUAAUUGGCAGCCAGUGUUUUUGGUAGUAAGCGCAGCACAUUUUGCGUCUUAGUCUCUAAACGGUGGCAUCCAUAUAGCCUCUUUCUCACUUUUGACCUCGGAUCAGGUAGGGAUACCCGCUGAACUUAA